AGGGACUUGGGGGUCUUCCCAGCAACAUCAGCUCUGUCAGCUCCUUGCUGCUCUUCAACACCACCUAGAACCUGUACAAGAAGUAUGUCUUCCUGGACCCCCUGGCUGGUGCUGUAACAAAGACCCAUGUGCAGAGACAGAGGAGAAGCUGUUUGAUGCCCCCUUGUCCAUCAGCAAGAGAGAGCAGCUGGAACAGCAGGUCCCUGAGAACUACUUCUAUGUGCCAGACCUGGGCCAGGUGCCUGAGAUUGAUGUUCCAUCCUACCUGCC
This 270-nucleotide long non-coding RNA is filed under the name Homo sapiens (human). RNAcentral's name for it is "non-protein coding lnc-RABL2A-7:3". The record is from RNAcentral. Lineage: Eukaryota; Metazoa; Chordata; Mammalia; Primates; Hominidae.